UAUUCCAGAUAAUGAAAGAAUCAAAUUGAUAGCAUUAGAGUAUCAUCAUUAUAUAAACAUCUAAGUGAUGAAGCUAGGUAAUAAUCAUCAGUGACUGCUGACAUCACAAAAGGAGGUACAAACAUUCACUGAAGGCCUCCUGAUGGAAGAACACACAGCACCUUCUGAAGUAGUCUUGCCAAAAAAUUGAAGCCUCUCAAUUUAAAUACCAGUUUACAGGAAAUAUAGGGCACAGAAAACCAUAUACAUAAUGAAAUAUGUUCAAAGGAAAUCUUGAAUUCACUUCAAAAAGAGGAAGAACAGAGGUAAACCCAGGGUACCUGAGGAGAAUGAGAGCAGAAGUCCCUUCCAUCCUAUAGCACAAACGAUCUCUCUACCUCUCUUCCCCAAAUUUAAAGCAAUUCUAUAUAUUCAACAGCAACUGUGGGACUGGGGCCAUGUUGAGAGAGGGGAAUGGGUGAAGUAUGACUUGAAGAGAAAGGGGUGCUGACUUUGGAAAGAAGUGAAGUUUGCAAUACUAAAAGCAAAAGGAACUAUACAAAAUACAUUACUCUACUUGAUAAAGUU
Panthera uncia (snow leopard) is the source of this 567-nucleotide long non-coding RNA. RefSeq lists it as uncharacterized. The record is from RefSeq and is a predicted model, not a curated record. The transcript is spliced from 3 exons. NCBI's taxonomy places the organism in Eukaryota, Metazoa, Chordata, Mammalia, Carnivora, Felidae.